AACCAGCACCUCAAGUGGUCAGGAUGAUUAUUGGGCCUAAAGCAUCCGUAGCCGGCUUUGUAAGUUUUCGGUUAAAUCCAUGCGCUCAACGUAUGGGCUGCCGGGAAUACUGCAAAGCUAGGGAGUGGGAGAGGUAGACGGUACUCGGUAGGAAGGGGUAAAAUCCUUUGAUCUAUUGAUGACCACCUGUGGCGAAGGCGGUCUACCAGAACACGUCCGACGGUGAGGGGUGAAAGCUGGGGGAGCAAACCGGAUUAGAUACCCGGGUAGUCCCAGCUGUAAACUAUGCAAACUCAGUGAUGCAUUGGCUUGAUGCCAAUGCAGUGCUGCAGGGAAGCCGUUAAGUUUGCCGCCUGGGAAGUACGUACGCAAGUAUGAAACUUAAAGGAAUUGGCGGGGGAGCACCACAAGGGGUGAAGCCUGCGGUUCAAUUGGAGUCAACGCCAGAAAUCUUACCCGGAGAGACAGCAGAAUGAAGGUCAAGCUGAAGACUUUACCAGACAAGCUGAGAGGUGGUGCAUGGCCGUCGCCAGCUCGUGCCGUGAGAUGUCCUGUUAAGUCAGGUAACGAGCGAGAUCCCUGCCUCUAGUUGUCACCACUACUCUCAGGAGUAGUGGGGCGAAUUAGCGGGACCGCCGUAGUUAAUACGGAGGAAGGAAGGGGCCACGGCAGGUCAGUAUGCCCCGAAACUCUGGGGCCACACGCGGGCUGCAAUGGUAACGACAAUGUGUUCCGAAUCCGAAAGGAGGAGGUAAUCCUCAAACGUUACCACAGUUAUGACUGAGGGCUGCAACUCGCCCUCACGAAUAUGGAAUCCCUAGUAACUGCGUGUCACUAUCGCGCGGUGAAUACGUCCCUGCUCCU
This 864-nucleotide ribosomal RNA is filed under the name uncultured archaeon. Its description in RNAcentral is "SSU rRNA". It matches the Rfam family "Archaeal small subunit ribosomal RNA", at positions 474 to 1337 of the family's 1478-position model. The record is from RNAcentral.